This 610-nucleotide ribosomal RNA is filed under the name Micrometula hyalostriata. Its description in RNAcentral is "bacterial SSU rRNA". It matches the Rfam family "Eukaryotic small subunit ribosomal RNA", at positions 1220 to 1547 of the family's 1831-position model. The record is from RNAcentral. Lineage: Eukaryota; Foraminifera; Allogromiidae.
GGGUCCGGACACACUGAGGAUUGACAGGCAAAAGAUACAAGUUUUCUUUGUGGGAGCUUGCAUUGUAAAAUAUGCGAGUCCUUUCAUGAUUAUGUGAUAGGUGGUGCAUGGCCGUUCUUAGUUCGUGGAGUGAUCUGUCUGCUUAAUUGCGUUUCACAACGAUUUAAAAUGCUAUGUUUUCUGUGUUUGCUGUUCGGUUUUAGCUCUUACGGGAGUUUUUAACUUUGAACGCACACGGCGUAGCUUAAAACAAUCGGAAAGCAACGAACGUGACCGCAACCUCUUGUUGCCUUUAUUUUUAAAAGCGUGGAAAAUUUUAUAUUUUCCUACGCUUGAAAAAGGCUUUAAAACUAGAGGGACCGCUGUUCUAUUCUCUUAAACCAGAGGAAGAUUGCGGCAAUAACAGGUCUGUGAUGCCCUCAGAUGUUCCGGGCUGCACACGUGCUACAAUGAUUGUUGCAGUGAGCAUCUAUUUUCAAACGCUACCGUUGCGGAUUUUGUGAGAAGGGGGAUUUGUUUUAAAGCUUUCGGGUGGAGAAGCAGGUUCUUUUUUUUUCACAAUUUAUUCCGCGUUACGUGUCAGCUAAACCUGCUUCGAAAGCAAGUAGGU